RNAcentral lists this ribosomal RNA (253 nucleotides) under uncultured bacterium. RNAcentral describes it as "partial 16S ribosomal RNA". It matches the Rfam family "Bacterial small subunit ribosomal RNA", at positions 524 to 776 of the family's 1533-position model. The record is from RNAcentral.
CACGUAGGGCGCAAGCGUUGUCCGGAAUUAUUGGGCGUAAAGAGCUCGUAGGCGGUCCGUCACGUCCGCUGUGAAAACCCAGGGCUCAACCCUGGGCUUGCAGUGGAUACGGGCAGACUAGAGGUAGGUAGGGGAGAAUGGAAUUCCCGGUGUAGCGGUGAAAUGCGCAGAUAUCGGGAGGAACACCGGUGGCGAAGGCGGGUCUCUGGACAGUUCCUGACGCUGAGGCACGAAGGCCAGGGGAGCAAACGGG